UUAAGUUAAUAAGGGCGCACGGUGGAUGCCUUGGCACUAGGAGCCGACGAAGGACGUGACAAACGACGAUAUGCCUUGGGUAGCUGUAAGUAAGCGAUGAUCCAGGGAUUUCCGAAUGGGGGAACCCAACAGGUAAUACCUGUUACCCACAUCUGUUAAGGAUGUGAGGAGGAAGACGCAGUGAACUGAAACAUCUAAGUAGCUGCAGGAAGAGAAAGCAAAAGCGAUUGCCUUAGUAGCGGCGAGCGAAACGGCAGGAGGGCAAACCGAAGAGUUUACUCUUCGGGGUUGUAGGACUGCAAUGUGGACUCAAAGAUUAUAGAAGAAUGAUUUGGGAAGAUCAGCCAAAGAGAGUAAUAGCCUCGUAUUUAAAAUAGUCUUUGUACUUAGCAGUAUCCUGAGUACGGCGGGACACGUGAAAUCCCGUCGGAAUCUGGGAGGACCAUCUCCCAACCCUAAAUACUCCCUAGUGACCGAUAGUGAACCAGUACCGUGAGGGAAAGGUGAAAAGCACCCCGGGAGGGGAGUGAAAUAGAACCUGAAACCGUGUGCCUACAACAAGUUCGAGCCCGUUAAUGGGUGAGAGCGUGCCUUUUGUAGAAUGAACCGGCGAGUUACGUUAUGAUGCGAGGUUAAGUUGAAGAGACGGAGCCGUAGGGAAACCGAGUCUGAAUAGGGCGCCUUAGUAUCAUGACGUAGACCCGAAACCAUGUGACCUACCCAUGAGCAGGUUGAAGGUGCGGUAAGACGCACUGGAGGACCGAACCAGGGCACGUUGAAAAGUGCUUGGAUGACUUGUGGGUAGCGGAGAAAUUCCAAACGAACUUGGAGAUAGCUGGUUCUCUCCGAAAUAGCUUUAGGGCUAGCGUCGACAUUAGAGAUUCUUGGAGGUAGAGCACUGUUUGGGUGAGGGGUCCAUCCCGGAUUACCAAUCUCAGAUAAACUCCGAAUGCCAAUGAAUUAUGGUCGGCAGUCAGACUGCGAGUGCUAAGAUCCGUAGUCGAAAGGGAAACAGCCCAGACCACCAGCUAAGGUCCCAAAAUAAUUGUUAAGUGGAAAAGGAUGUGGGGUUGCACAGACAACUAGGAUGUUAGCUUAGAAGCAGCUAUUCAUUCAAAGAGUGCGUAAUAGCUCACUAGUCGAGUGACCCUGCGCCGAAAAUGUACCGGGGCUAAAACAAUUUACCGAAGCUGUGGAUACCUUUAUAGGUAUGGUAGGAGAGCGUUCUAUGUGUGANNNNNNNNNNNNNNNNNNNNNNNNNNNNNNNNNNNNNNNNNNNNNNNNNNNNNNNNNNNNNNNNNNNNNNNNNNNNNNNNNNNNNNNNNNNNNNNNNNNNNNNNNNNNNNNNNNNNNNNNNNNNNNNNNNNNNNUUCUAUAACAUUGAGCUGUGAUGGGGAGCGAAGUUUAGUAGCGAAGUUAGUGACGUCACACUGCCAAGAAAAGCUUCUAGCGUUUAAACAUACUCUACCCGUACCGCAAACCGACACAGGUAGUCGAGGCGAGUAGCCUCAGGUGAGCGAGAGAACUCUCGUUAAGGAACUCGGCAAAAUGACCCCGUAACUUCGGGAGAAGGGGUGCUGACUUUAAGUCAGCCGCAGUGAAUAGGCCCAAGCAACUGUUUAUCAAAAACACAGCUCUCUGCUAAAUCGUAAGAUGAUGUAUAGGGGGUGACGCCUGCCCGGUGCUGGAAGGUUAAGAGGAGUGCUUAGCGUAAGCGAAGGUAUGAAUUGAAGCCCCAGUAAACGGCGGCCGUAACUAUAACGGUCCUAAGGUAGCGAAAUUCCUUGUCGGGUAAGUUCCGACCCGCACGAAAGGCGUAAUGAUUUGGGCACUGUCUCAACGAGAGACUCGGUGAAAUUUUAGUACCUGUGAAGAUGCAGGUUACCCGCGACAGGACGGAAAGACCCCAUGGAGCUUUACUGCAGUUUGAUAUUGAGUGUCUGUACCACAUGUACAGGAUAGGUAGGAGUCUAAGAGAUCGGGACGCCAGUUUCGAAGGAGACGCUGUUGGGAUACUACCCUUGUGUUAUGGCCACUCUAACCCAGAUAGGUGAUCCCUAUCGGAGACAGUGUCUGACGGGCAGUUUGACUGGGGCGGUCGCCUCCUAAAAGGUAACGGAGGCGCCCAAAGGUUCCCUCAGAAUGGUUGGAAAUCAUUCGCAGAGUGUAAAGGUAUAAGGGAGCUUGACUGCGAGAGCUACAACUCGAGCAGGGACGAAAGUCGGGCUUAGUGAUCCGGUGGUUCCGUAUGGAAGGGCCAUCGCUCAACGGAUAAAAGCUACCCUGGGGAUAACAGGCUUAUCUCCCCCAAGAGUUCACAUCGACGGGGAGGUUUGGCACCUCGAUGUCGGCUCGUCGCAUCCUGGGGCUGUAGUCGGUCCCAAGGGUUGGGCUGUUCGCCCAUUAAAGCGGCACGCGAGCUGGGUUCAGAACGUCGUGAGACAGUUCGGUCCCUAUCCGUCGCGGGCGUAGGAAAUUUGAGAGGAUCUGCUCCUAGUACGAGAGGACCAGAGUGGACUUACCGCUGGUGUACCAGUUGUCUUGCCAAAGGCAUCGCUGGGUAGCUAUGUAGGGAAGGGAUAAACGCUGAAAGCAUCUAAGUGUGAAACCCACCUCAAGAUGAGAUUUCCCAUGAUUAUAUAUCAGUAAGAGCCCUGAGAGAUGAUCAGGUAGAUAGGUUAGAAGUGGAAGUGUGGCGACACAUGUAGCGGACUAAUACUAAUAGCUCGAGGACUUAUCCAA
RNAcentral lists this ribosomal RNA (2742 nucleotides) under Streptococcus pneumoniae. RNAcentral describes it as "23S ribosomal RNA". It matches the Rfam family "Bacterial large subunit ribosomal RNA". Lineage: Bacteria; Bacillati; Bacillota; Bacilli; Lactobacillales; Streptococcaceae. The record is from RNAcentral.